GCCCAUCAUAUUGUUUUCUUCCCAUUCAUGGCCAAAGGCCACACCAUUCCUCUUCUUCACCUCAUCCGCCUCCUCCGCCGCCGUUUUCCCCACCUCUGCCUCACCAUCUUCACCACCGCUGCCUACCGUCCCUUCAUUUCCCAGUUCCUCUCCGACUGCGGCACCGAUUCCAUCUCCAUCGUCGACCUCUGUUUUCCCCAAAAUGCCCCUGGCCUCCCCGCUGGCGUCGAAUCCACCGAUACCCUCCCUUCACUCUCCCUCCACCCUCAACUUUGCGUCGCCACGGAGCUGAUGCAACCCGAAUUUGAAAAACGCCUCCAAUCGCUCCCCGUUCCGGUCACCUUCUUAAUCUCCGACAUGUUCUUCUGGUGGACCCUCGAGUCUGCUUCCAAAUUGGGCAUCCCGCGAAUCAACUUCAGCGGCAUGUCCAAUUACUCCUCCGCCAUCACAUCCUCCCUCAUGAAACACAGAGUCCUCACCGAAGUUCAGUCCGUGGACGAGCUGGUCACCGUCACUGAUUUCCCUCGGGUGAAAAUGAGCUACAGCGAUUUGGACCCAGUUUUAUGGUCGGAAGCCGACCCGACAAGCCUCCACUUUCAACUCAUAAUGAAGGUAAUCCAGGCAGAAGUCAGCAGCUACGGAUUG
Molecule: unclassified non-coding RNA, 645 nt
Filed under: Hevea brasiliensis (rubber tree)
Lineage: Eukaryota; Viridiplantae; Streptophyta; Magnoliopsida; Malpighiales; Euphorbiaceae
Source: RNAcentral